GACGAACGCUGGCGGCGUGCUUAACACAUGCAAGUCGAACGGUAAGGCCCUUCGGGGUACACGAGUGGCGAACGGGUGAGUAACACGUGGGUGAUCUGCCCUGCACUUCGGGAUAAGCCUGGGAAACUGGGUCUAAUACCGGAUAGGACCACUGCCUACAUGGGUGGUGGUGGAAAGCUUUUGCGGUGUGGGAUGGGCCCGCGGCCUAUCAGCUUGUUGGUGGGGUGAUGGCCUACGAAGGCGACGACGGGUAGCCGGCCUGAGAGGGUGACCGGCCACACUGGGACUGAGAUACGGCCCAGACUCCUACGGGAGGCAGCAGUGGGGAAUAUUGCACAAUGGGCGCAGGCCUGAUGCAGCGACGCCGCGUGAGGGAUGACGGCCUUCGGGUUGUAAACCUCUUUCAGCACCGACGAAGCGCAAGUGACGGUAGGUGCAGAAGAAGGACCGGCCAACUACGUGCCAGCCGCCGCCGUAA
RNAcentral lists this ribosomal RNA (478 nucleotides) under uncultured bacterium. Its description in RNAcentral is "partial 16S ribosomal RNA". It matches the Rfam family "Bacterial small subunit ribosomal RNA", at positions 28 to 523 of the family's 1533-position model. The record is from RNAcentral.